CCUACGGGCGGCUGCAGUGGGGAAUAUUGCACAAUGGGCGCAAGCCUGAUGCAGCCAUGCCGCGUGUGUGAAGAAGGCCUUCGGGUUGUAAAGCACUUUCAGCGGGGAGGAAGGCGGUGAGGUUAAUAACCUCAUCGAUUGACGUUACCCGCAGAAGAAGCACCGGCUAACUCCGUGCCAGCAGCCGCGGUAAUACGGAGGGUGCAAGCGUUAAUCGGAAUUACUGGGCGUAAAGCGCACGCAGGCGGUCUGUCAAGUCGGAUGUGAAAUCCCCGGGCUCAACCUGGGAACUGCAUUCGAAACUGGCAGGCUAGAGUCUUGUAGAGGGGGGUAGAAUUCCAGGUGUAGCGGUGAAAUGCGUAGAGAUCUGGAGGAAUACCGGUGGCGAAGGCGGCCCCCUGGACAAAGACUGACGCUCAGAUGCGAAAGCGUGGGGAGCAAACAGGAUUAGAUACCCGGGUGUC
RNAcentral lists this ribosomal RNA (464 nucleotides) under uncultured Klebsiella sp. Its description in RNAcentral is "bacterial SSU rRNA". It matches the Rfam family "Bacterial small subunit ribosomal RNA", at positions 338 to 795 of the family's 1533-position model. Lineage: Bacteria; Pseudomonadati; Pseudomonadota; Gammaproteobacteria; Enterobacterales; Enterobacteriaceae. The record is from RNAcentral.